UACGGGGGGGGCAAGCGUUGUUCGGAAUUACUGGGCGUAAAGGGCUCGUAGGCGGCCAACUCAGUCGGACGUGAAAUCCCUCGGCUUAACCGGGGAACUGCUUCCGAUACUGGAUGGCUUGAGUGUGGGAGAGGGAUGCGGAAUUCCAGGUGUAGCGGUGAAAUGCGUAGAUAUCUGGAGGAACACCGGUGGCGAAGGCGGCAUCCUGGACUACUACUGACGCUGAGGAGCGAAAGCCAGGGGAGCAAACGGG
This 253-nucleotide ribosomal RNA is filed under the name uncultured bacterium. RNAcentral describes it as "partial 16S ribosomal RNA". It matches the Rfam family "Bacterial small subunit ribosomal RNA", at positions 524 to 776 of the family's 1533-position model. The record is from RNAcentral.